CAGAGCCGUGGCUCGAGUCGUCAGUGUCGUCUUGGUCCGUGGAUCAGUUCUGCUGCUUUCCGGUAACGGCGGCGGUGAGACGGCAGUGAGUCUACCUCCCGGCUGUAGAUCUUGUUUUGUUGAGAGCGGCGAGCAGGCGAACCACUAUAUUUUUAGGGUUAGGAGCACUCCGCUCCGGCGAACAUGGUGUUCUCGAUGCAGCCGGUCAACAGGUUCGGAUCUGGUCCUGGGUGUGGUUGUUCGUCCGUGUUUUGGGUGGAGAUUUUCUAAAGAUCUGCUGCCCUUGGUCGGGCCCCGAACCAUAAUAGAAGGUCAGCAAUGGAGAAAUCAAUCCGAAGGUUUGCCGGCGCACCAUCAGCAAUCUGGCCGGCGGGGUUCCCCUGUGCGCGGACAAAUUCGCCCGGUAGUAAUCAUGUCUAACUCCGGCAGUUGCGACGUAGUUGGAGCCGGUGUAGAAGUUACAACACAAGACCCGGAGCACUCAUCAUCUGAAAAUGAAGCACAGGCGCCUCCGACACCCACAUCCAGAAUUUCAGUUAAGCGAGCAGUAGAAGUAAUUCAGUUAUUUGAUGGUUACAAGAUGUGGUUGGUUGCAGAAAUUGGAUUUGGUUGUAUGCUAAAGCUCCCUGUGAUCCAACAACUCAACCUAAAAUUCAGUGCAUGGACAAUUAGUAAGAUUUUCUUUCUCGACAACAUUGACUUAGGGAUGUUCAACAAGAAGCAUGAUGUCCUUCAUCAGAUCAGCACCUUCGAUCAGACCAACAUUAGAAGGAUGAUAACUGUGGCAACUGACAUUGGGACGAGCGUCACAUCAUAUUCGAAUUCCAAGCUCCGACCAGAUGCGGAUGUAUGCUAUGCCCGCCGCAAGCAACCAGAAUGCACUGAGAAAAUAAAUAACCAACCAGCAGACGUCACCAAUCAAAAUCAAAGCCCUGAGCAUCACACAGAAGCAAGGUUAGGUGCAGUGCAUGCAUCGUCAUCAUCAGCAGCUCUAUCAUGGAUGUCAGGACACCACACCGUGUCCUCGAUCCAAUCGACUUUGCAAAGCACAUUCCCAGCCGAUACCCAAGUUUGGUAAUAGAUGAGAUAACUAUUCUACUGAAGGAGCAAAAUGCUAGGUGCCAGCACAAACUCAGUACUGCGCGGGCUAAUGCACAGGCCGACAUGAUCAAGUUCGGCGAUAAACUCAUGGCUGUACUUAGCAACAGGUGCAUAUGCUACACCACCAGAGGGGACAUAACGAGGACUCCUCCAGGCCCUAAAAUACCUGUUGUCAGGCUUGAUAUGUCUGGAUGCAGAAGUGACACUAACAUAAACACUGCGACUAACAGGUUGGCAGCACCUAAAUAUAAGCAGGGGCAACUUGUCGACCAAUGAGCCUGCCUAAUUGAAACGUGCCUGACCCCUCCAUGGUUGUGGCUCCAGUCGACCAUUUCGUGCCAGCUCACCUGCACGAAUCCAUUGCUUGUUGCUUGGCUGGACGAGCUCUUCGGUUCAGAUAAGAUAUCGGAUGGGGUUGGCACGGACUGGCUGCUGAAUUGCUGAUCCAUGCCAAAAUGGUUACUAAGCUCAGCACGACACUCCUUGCUCGACCUCAUGUAUCCACACAGACCAAUCUUCUAUAGAAAAAAUUAGAAAAGCAUAAGACAAAUUUAGGAACCGAUCCAUGCGCAUGAGUAACUAUAUGACUAGAAUUUACAUCUUGUUUUUGAUGAUAAAUCUUACAUCUUUAUUCAUGUACUUGUAGAACCGAUGACCAACGUUCGAUCCACCAUGAGCAAUCCAGGUGACGAUCUGCACGCCGCAGUCAGUGCAUGGAAUGAGCGGCGAAAUCUCCUUUAGGCUGACGGACGACGAUGAUGCAGACAUGGUGGAUAAGGGAUGUGGGUGGUGGCACUAGCUCCGGUGGGGAUAGGAUGCACCGGCAGACCUGGGAGGGCUUCCAGUCGAAUCACAAGAUUAUGAAGAUGACUAGCUUGUUGGGGGAAGACUGGUAGCUCCAACGGGAGGACACAAUAAAUGAAUGCGGUGACGGUGUUAGUCUAUAAUCUGGAUCGGAACGGCUCAUAUCGUUUCUCUCCAUGUGGGCCGCAUGAAGCAUGCCUGACGGUGUAAUGGAAGCUGCAUCUGUGUUGUGGGCCAUGAGCCAUAAUAAAAUAAGAAAUACAUAAAUUAUAGCUGAUCCUA
Triticum dicoccoides is the source of this 2187-nucleotide RNA transcript. RefSeq lists it as uncharacterized. The record is from RefSeq and is a predicted model, not a curated record. The transcript has 7 exons. Lineage: Eukaryota; Viridiplantae; Streptophyta; Magnoliopsida; Poales; Poaceae.